Molecule: ribosomal RNA, 633 nt
Filed under: uncultured bacterium
Lineage: Bacteria
Description: bacterial SSU rRNA
Rfam family: Bacterial small subunit ribosomal RNA (bases 1-532)
Source: RNAcentral
CCUACGGGAGGCAGCAGUGAGGAAUAUUGGACAAUGGGCGCAAGCCUGAUCCAGCCAUGCCGCGUGCAGGAAGAAGCAUCUAUGGUGUGUAAACUGCUUUUGUACAGGAAGAAACACUCCCUCGUGAGGGAGCUUGACGGUACUGUAAGAAUAAGGACCGGCUAACUCCGUGCCAGCAGCCGCGGUAAUACGGAGGGUCCGAGCGUUAUCCGGAAUCAUUGGGUUUAAAGGGUCCGUAGGCGGUUUAAUAAGUCAGUGGUGAAAUCUGGUCGCUCAACGAUCAAACGGCCAUUGAUACUGUUAGACUUGAAUUAUAAGGAAGUAACUAGAAUAUGUAGUGUAGCGGUGAAAUGCUUAGAUAUUACAUGGAAUACCAAUUGCGAAGGCAGGUUACUACUUAUGGAUUGACGCUGAUGGACGAAAGCGUGGGGAGCGAACAGGAUUAGAUACCCUGGUAGUCCACGCCGUAAACGAUGGAUACUAGCUGUUCGGAGNAUNUNAGUGNGUAGAGAAGAGAGUAAGUAGUACCACCGUCGGGAGGUACGGUUCGUCGAAGAAGUUAGUAAACGUUAACGAAAUAAGAAGUUAGUUACGGCGNGAGACGAGCGACGGACGACGACGAGGGAGGAGGAG